RNAcentral lists this long non-coding RNA (785 nucleotides) under Homo sapiens (human). Its description in RNAcentral is "HSALNT0325067". Lineage: Eukaryota; Metazoa; Chordata; Mammalia; Primates; Hominidae. The record is from RNAcentral.
GUCUUGGGUUUUUCAUCGGGGAGUGGGAGUGGACUGAAGGCUUGGCCGCUCCGCCUCACUGAGCCGGCUCAGCCAGCGCAGCUGUUCCUGGAACGCCAGUCCCUUAGGAUGGGAGGUACUUUCAUCUCGAAGAGGGCCGUGGCGUCUGGAGCUUCCCUCCCUUCUGUCCUGCUGAGUCAUCCCCGCGUCGCCUGCGAGGCCGCGAGGCGUUUAGAGAGCGGAGAAGGCAAAGAGGAACAGACUGGGAAAGAGACUGGAUAGAUUCUAAUAUGGUGAAAACAUCAGAAGCAGUUCAGGGACUAGGAAGUGGGAACUCUAGAGAUGACAGACAUUCUGCUGGGUGGUUUUUAAAGUUUCUUCCAGAGUCAUCUGCCUCAUUAACAACAAUUUUUGUGGAAGAAGUCUGUCUUUGAUUUUAUGAACUCACGUGACUCCUUGGUCUGUUACGAAUGCACAAUGCUCCAGUCCUUCAAUAAGCCCAUUACAUACUUUCACCAUGUCAUCUAUAGGUGCUUUUUCUCCAGUGUAAACAUCAUCUUCGUCAUCACUCUUACAAUGCUCACCUUGAUUCAGAACCAUUUUGACCAUUCACAUCAGUCAAUGAAUGAACAACUGAAGUGUCAUCAUGGACAGUAAAAACUUCUUCCAUAUCCUCUUCUUUCAGCCUACUGACAGACUCGGAAGGUGUAUAUUUCACAUAUGGCAGGAGGUCAGACUUUUUUUUCAACUUGACAUACAGAAUCCUUCAAAGUCACUACCUUGUUCUUCAUCAUCACUGAGCAUAC